GUGGCAGACGGUGAGUAACACGUGGGAUCUACCCUUUGCUACGGAACAACUCCGGGAAACUGGAGCUAAUACCGUAUGUGCCCUUCGGGGGGAAAGAUUUAUCGCCGAAGGAUCGGCCCGCGUCUGAUUAGCUAGUUGGUGAGGUAACGGCUCACCAAGGCGACGAUCAGUAGCUGGUCUGAGAGGAUGAUCAGCCACAUUGGGACUGAGACACGGCCCAAAACUCCUACGGGAGGCAGCAGUGGGGAACAUUGGACAAUGGGCGCAAGCCUGAUCCAGCCAUGCCGCGUGAGUGAUGAAGGCCCUAGGGUUGUAAAGCUCUUUUGUGCGGGAAGAUAAUGACGGUACCGCAAGAAUAAGCCCCGGCUAACUUCGUG
Molecule: ribosomal RNA, 377 nt
Filed under: uncultured bacterium
Lineage: Bacteria
Description: bacterial SSU rRNA
Rfam family: Bacterial small subunit ribosomal RNA
Source: RNAcentral